RNAcentral lists this ribosomal RNA (517 nucleotides) under Simulium chamlongi. RNAcentral describes it as "partial 16S ribosomal RNA". It matches the Rfam family "Bacterial large subunit ribosomal RNA", at positions 1825 to 2601 of the family's 2925-position model. Lineage: Eukaryota; Metazoa; Arthropoda; Insecta; Diptera; Simuliidae. The record is from RNAcentral.
GUCUUUUUGGUUAUUUAAUAUAAAGUCUGACCUGCCCACUGAAUUUAUUUUGAAGGGCCGCAGUAUUUUGACUGUGCAAAGGUAGCAUAAUCAUUAGUCUUUUAAUUGAAGGCUGGUAUGAAUGGUUGGAUGAGGCACAAGCUGUGUCAUAAAAAUUAACUUUUGAAUUUACCUUUUUAGUCAAAAGGCUAAAAUAAAAUUAAAAGACGAGAAGACCCUAUAGAGCUUUAUAUAAUUUAUAUUUAAAUUAUUAAGAUUUUUCAAAUUUAAUUAUUUUAUUAUAUUUUGUUGGGGUGACAAUAAAAUUUAUAAAACUUUUAUUUUUAUUAACCAUUUAUUUAUGAAUAUAUGAUCCAGUUUUAUUGAUUAUAAAUUUAAGUUACCUUAGGGAUAACAGCGUAAUUUUUUUUGAGAGUUCUUAUCGACAAAAAAGAUUGCGACCUCGAUGUUGGAUUAAGAGUAAUUUUGGGUGUAGAAGUUCAAAGUUUAAGUCUGUUCGACUUUUAAAUUCUUACAU